GCGGGAGUAGCCUAGUGGUAGAGCAUCUGCUUCCCAAGCAGAGGGUCGCCGGUUCGAUCCCGGUCUCCCGCUCCA
Molecule: transfer RNA, 75 nt
Filed under: Chloroflexota bacterium
Lineage: Bacteria; Bacillati; Chloroflexota
Description: Chloroflexi bacterium (marine sediment metagenome) tRNA-Gly
Rfam family: tRNA
About the family: Transfer RNA (tRNA) molecules are approximately 80 nucleotides in length.
Source: RNAcentral